CGAUUUUUUGGCCUUCGCAAUAAGGUAAUAUGUCCCGGGAUAUUGAAUUUAUGUCAGUUUUCAAAUUUCUUAUGAAAAUGAGAUGAAAUAAUGAAUUUAUUUUUCUUUCAAACAAACCCCCAAUAAGGUUCUCGUAUUGCUUAUCUUUUUUUAAAAGAUAGCAACCUGUUUUAAUUACGGAGUGCAGGACUCCUCCAAAUACGCGCCUGAAUACAGUGUUUUUACUUUUAAAAUUGCAUUAAGACAGUACAUAUUCCAACUUGUUUGAGCACGCCUAAAGAUUUUUGACGUGAAAUUAUAAGUGUAUAAUGAUAACUUGCAGAUUGGAUGCAUUUUAUGUUAUAAUUGGCCUUAUUGGAAUUACGAUCCAUGUCAACUUUAACUUGCAUUAACCUCGGGGUCAUUCGUAUAAAUAAAUAAAUAAAUAAUUAAAUAAGAAUAAAUAAAUAAAUCUUUAUUUAAAGAGAGUAACUCAUUUGGAUUAAAUCAAUUUUCAAUAAGGCUCUCUAUAGACACAAUAUUAACAACAUGAAUAAACAUAAUCUACUACUACGGUUUUUUUUAACGACCUUGACAAAAGCCCUUGCACGGUUGAUAUAAACCAAAUCAAUCUAGCAAUACACAAUGAUGAAUAAUAGUAUAAAUAUUAAAUUACAUAAACAAAUACAUGAACAAAACGGAUUACAUGAUAGUGUUUUGAGUUUUAUUGUUAAAAUAUAUAAUGAUUUGUAAGUAUACUUGAAUG
Molecule: long non-coding RNA, 745 nt
Filed under: Mytilus galloprovincialis (Mediterranean mussel)
Lineage: Eukaryota; Metazoa; Mollusca; Bivalvia; Mytilida; Mytilidae
Source: RNAcentral